This is a long non-coding RNA of Parus major (Great Tit), 2371 nucleotides long. RefSeq lists it as uncharacterized. NCBI's taxonomy places the organism in Eukaryota, Metazoa, Chordata, Aves, Passeriformes, Paridae. The transcript has 2 exons. The record is from RefSeq and is a predicted model, not a curated record.
GGGUUUUUUCCUAAAACCAACUUGUUCUUGGAAAUCGCCCGUGAUUUCGGUUUCUGUUCCAGUGUGAGGCUGCUGGUGGCAGCUGCGGGUGUCGCUGCCGUGGGGCAGCGCAGGGUGCCCGGAGCCUCCCGUGCUGCGGGGACUCGAGUUUGUUUCUGGCCGCUCCUGACUCCGGAGCGUUUUUCCAGGAGCCUUGGGGCUCCCUCUUCCAGGGAUGGUGAGCGAUCCUUAACUGGAAGAAAGGAGAAGGCAUGUGCGUGCGAAAGCCGGCUUUCCCCCCAGAGCUUGUACUCCGAAACUUCGCUAUUCGGUGAAAUUCUGAGCACCAGGAAGCUUUGGUUUUUCCAGGAAGGCGUGAAUAUUCUGGGGUUUUUUCACAUUUUCAGGGAAGAAUUAACGUGAGGGCUCCGGGUACUGUGUUAAGGUCUUACUUUGUUGUAAAUGGUUAAUUUGGCAGGAUCUGUGGUUAAUUGCUCUAAGUGCAGUGAGCCUGGAAUAAAUGGAAUGGUUCUCAUUGAAUAGAAAAGUUCAAGAUCACUACUCAUUCUAUCAGAUAAUCUUUCAAGUACCAGCAAUUUUUAUUUGUAUAUAUUCCCUUAUAACCUAUAUAAGGUAACUAAGCUGAGCAUGGAUAUUAUGUUUCUGUAAAACUGUGUUCAUUUUUCAGACGGAAGAGCAAAUACAAUUAGGGUUUUUUGUAUUUACCAAGUAAUUAGGUGCAGAUGUUUUUGCACUGCCACUUCAAAAGUCACCUUGCUCUGUCAAGGUUAUGAUGUGUCCACCAAGCAAUGAAGAUAAAAUAAAAUUCUGCAAAGAAUCUGAGAGUUUUUAAUGUCCUCUUGGCUUAAAAUGAGUUGGAAUUGUUUGGUGGUAAUUUUUCUUUCUUUUAUCCUUAAACAUAUUAAAGAGAAAAAUGAAAAUAACUUAUUUUGAAUAUCUAAAUGCUCCUUUUACAAAAGGGGACGCUUUAGAACGCUUGUCUAGAAAAAGAAGUGAGCUGAAACAUUGUGCUAAUGGGAUUUGCAGCAUAAAAUAUGGCUAAUUUCUCUUGUAUGACUACAGGUGGCAGUGUAGAAGCCAAGAACAAAAAUUGGCAGAAAUUGUGUUCUGUGUACGAGAAUAUGAAGAGUGUACUCAUGACUAAGCACAGGAACCUGGAAAACCACAGGCUUUAGUCAGGUGAUCCCUGAUGAGUAGCCAGCCCACCAAGAAGGGACUGCAGCACACAGGUAAGAGAGAAGCUGUGUACUCUUACAUGGGGGGGUCCAGGGAAGAAGGUAAACAUCUCUAACAUUGUUUGAAUAGUUUAGAAAACAAAAAAAAAAUCCUGACUUUCUUGGCUAUGUAACACUGUGAUUGUCUCUUUCAAUGCUGCUACUUCUGCUAUUCAGUCUUGUUCUCGAUUUUUUUUUUUUUAAUCUGUCUUUAAUUAGAAGCUUUAUUGAAAAAAAAAAAGAAAAACCCAAUUGUGUGGUGUUAAAUAUAGAUCUGGGUAUUGCAUGAAUAUUGCAUUUUGUUACAUUUUGAAUAAAAUAACUUUCCAUAAUGCAAGUGUGUCAAACUCAUAUUUAGAGGGGAAUUCCCAAAUACUUGAACUAUGAGUCAUAAAAAGUUAAAGGACCAGUACAACAGUUCAGGAUAAAAACUCCGUUCAGCCUUGGGCAGCUGCUUUUGUACACAUUGGUAGUAAAAUAUGUCUUAAAAAAACCCCCAAAGAUUCACAAAGCUGAAGCUCUUUAAACUCUGCUGACCACAACCUAAAAGAUAGGUGGCAGAGAUGAAACAGAUGACUGGGGAGGAGGAUUGUGCAAGUGCUCUUGGUUUCAUGCAUCUUUUCAUUCAUUGUGUCUAACAACCUGGUGAAUGAGUCUUCUUAUGUGCUGAGGGUGCUUCAAAGGGCUCUGAUUCCUUAAUUCCUGUUUUAUAAUGUCUUAGCAAGAAUACAGACUGAAAACCAGGAAUAAGUGCACUUACUCUAAAUGCAGGAGUACAGAAUAAAAAUGCUGGGUGAGUGUGACAGAUAAAAGUGGGAUUUAACUAUUUUUAUGUCUGGCUAUUGUGCCACACUCUCUUCUCUUUAAACAAAACUACACUAAAUUUUCUUCCUUAUUGCUGUUUUUCCUUACUAGAAGAGCUCAGAUACUCUCUGAAGUUCUGAAUUACUCCUGUUUAAAAAUGUGUUCAGAGUUUUCUAGGAUGAAAAAGGCAGGCAAGUCUUCCUAGCUCCCACCUGCAGCUCUGAAAAAUUCCUCGUGGUCUAGGGUUGAAAACUUUAUUUUCAAAACCUGCCAUACAAAUUUCCAUGUUUUCCUGGUAACACUGCUCCUGCUCACUAAUUUGCAGUAUUUAAAUAAAAACUACUUGAGCCAUA